UACGUAGGGUGCAAGCGUUAAUCGGAAUUACUGGGCGUAAAGCGUGCGCAGGCGGUUUUGUAAGUCUGUCGUGAAAUCCCCGGGCUCAACCUGGGAAUUGCGAUGGAGACUGCAAGGCUAGAAUCUGGCAGAGGGGGGUAGAAUUCCACGUGUAGCAGUGAAAUGCGUAGAGAUGUGGAGGAACACCGAUGGCGAAGGCAGCCCCCUGGGUCAGGAUUGACGCUCAUGCACGAAAGCGUGGGGAGCAAACAGG
RNAcentral lists this ribosomal RNA (253 nucleotides) under uncultured bacterium. RNAcentral describes it as "partial 16S ribosomal RNA". It matches the Rfam family "Bacterial small subunit ribosomal RNA", at positions 524 to 776 of the family's 1533-position model. The record is from RNAcentral.